RNAcentral lists this ribosomal RNA (497 nucleotides) under uncultured bacterium. RNAcentral describes it as "partial 16S ribosomal RNA". It matches the Rfam family "Bacterial small subunit ribosomal RNA", at positions 28 to 507 of the family's 1533-position model. The record is from RNAcentral.
GAUGAACGCUGGCGGCGUGCCUAAUACAUGCAAGUCGAGCGACCAGACGAUGAGCGUGCUCCUCUGACGGUGGCGACUGGCGGGUGAGUGACGCGUGGAUCACCUACCUCUAAUUCUGGGAUAACAUCGUGAGACCGGAUCUGCUACCGCAUAACAUGUUCUACCGCAGGGUUCAACAGUGAAUCACGCUUUGCCUGUCUCUUUGAGCUGAAUCCGCGCCGCAUUAGCUAGUUGGUAAGGUAACGGCUUACCAAGGCAACGAUGCGUAGCCGACCUGAGAGGGUGAUCGGCCACACUGGAACUGAGACACGGUCCAGACUCCUACGGGAGGCAGCAGUAGGGAAUAUUCCGCAAUGGGCGAAAGCCUGACGCAGCAACGCCGCGUGAGUGAAGAAGGUCUUCGGGUUGUAAAACUCUGUUAUUAGGGAAGAAAAGAUGUGUAAGUAACUAUGCACGUCUUGACGGUACCUAAUCAGAAAGCAACGGCUAACUACGUG